This is a small nuclear RNA of Vicugna pacos (alpaca), 116 nucleotides long. The record is from Ensembl. Lineage: Eukaryota; Metazoa; Chordata; Mammalia; Artiodactyla; Camelidae.
GUGUGCAUUUUGGCAGCACACAUACUGACAUGGGAGCAGUGCAGAGAUGCUCAGCAUGGCCCCUGCACAAGGACGACAUGCAAAUUUGUGAGAUUUGUGAGGCAUUCUAUAUUUUU